This is a long non-coding RNA of Eurytemora carolleeae, 225 nucleotides long. RefSeq lists it as uncharacterized. The transcript has 2 exons. Lineage: Eukaryota; Metazoa; Arthropoda; Copepoda; Calanoida; Temoridae. The record is from RefSeq and is a predicted model, not a curated record.
CAUGUUCAGGCCAUUUGUUUACGGCAUUGAUAUGAUAUGAAAAAGAAGAUGGGAUGAGGAUGAAAAUGAAAGUGGCAUGAGGAGGAAAAUGAGGAUGGAUGAUGAUGAAAAUAUGGAAGAUCAUGAAUGGUUUUAAAGAAUUCAGUGCAGUGAUAACAGAAAACUCUUGGAACUAUGUAUGUAAUUUAAAAAUAACGUUAUGAAAUAAAUAUUGUGCAGUGUAAA